GCGCCCGUAGCUCAGAGGAUAGAGCAACGGCCUUCUAAGCCGUCGGUCGCCCGUUCGAAUCGGGCCGGGCGCGCCA
Molecule: transfer RNA, 76 nt
Filed under: candidate division WS1 bacterium
Lineage: Bacteria; Bacillati
Description: tRNA-Arg
Rfam family: tRNA
About the family: Transfer RNA (tRNA) molecules are approximately 80 nucleotides in length. Their secondary structure includes four short double-helical elements and three loops (D, anti-codon, and T loops). Further hydrogen bonds mediate the characteristic L-shaped molecular structure. tRNAs have two regions of fundamental functional importance: the anti-codon, which is responsible for specific mRNA codon recognition, and the 3' end, to which the tRNAs corresponding amino acid is attached (by aminoacyl-tRNA synthetases). tRNAs cope with the degeneracy of the genetic code in two manners: having more than one tRNA (with a specific anti-codon) for a particular amino acid; and 'wobble' base-pairing, i.e. permitting non-standard base-pairing at the 3rd anti-codon position.
Source: RNAcentral